GUUUUUUAAAAAAAUAUUUUAUUUUUUUAAUUUUAGGUGGACACAAUAUCUUUAUUUUAUGUGGUGCUGGGGAUCGAACCCAGUGCCGCAUGCAUGCCAGGUGAGCGCACUACCACCUGAGCCACAUCCCGAGCCCAGAUAUAAUAGUUUUAAUGUAAAGGGAAGACAAACAUGGAAGAAAUAAACAAGUUAAUAGCAUAAUCUCUACUAUGUCAAUUAUAAUUUUGAAUCCACCAAGAAUAGAAAACCAUCCUCCAAGUAGUGAGCUUGGAUCCUAAUCCUUAAUGCCCUUUGAGAUUUGAACUGGUACAUGUACUAGUUUUCUGAUAUUGUUAGCUAUGUGUUUUAUUGUUAUCAAUCCUGAAGUAAGCACCAAGGAAAGGACUAUGUCCAUGACAGAAGUAAUGAAUCAUAGUAUAAGAGCCAUCUCAGCAGAUGAAACAGUUCAUUUGUCCUGCUGGUUAGUUUAUUUUCUACCCUCCAUUGAUCAGCCAGCCCCAAGUGGCUCAGGCAGGGCUAAUGUUUCCUCAAGCAGGUGUGCGCAGGCUAGUCAGGUUCCAGAGUGACUAGAGCAGGGAUGGUGUUCUUCUGAUUCUCAAGCUUGUCUGCUGUUUCCUUCUUCCUAAUGGUCAGCUGAAGGGCUGCAAAUUAAGGUGGGAAAGCUGCUAAAGAAUGUGUAUGACAAUAUAAGAUUAUAUUUUCAAAAAGUCCCAAAACAGGUCAAAAGGAACAAGAUAUUACAAAAUGUGUAUCUGUGUAUAUGUAUAUACAUAUGUUGAUAUAUUUGGUGACACUGUAAAGAAAACUAUGGAAUUGUGGACAGUCCUCCAUGUAUGUGUGGUAGAGCUGGGGGAUAUCCCAGGAGGCUUAAACUACAUAGAUUUAUCUUAAUGUAAUUUUAAACAAAUUUGAAAACAGCCUAUAAUUUUAUGAGCCUGACCCAACAUUUCAUGCUUUAGCUUAUGAUCUCCC
RNAcentral lists this long non-coding RNA (972 nucleotides) under Marmota monax (woodchuck). Lineage: Eukaryota; Metazoa; Chordata; Mammalia; Rodentia; Sciuridae. The record is from RNAcentral.